This 292-nucleotide ribosomal RNA is filed under the name uncultured bacterium. Its description in RNAcentral is "partial 16S ribosomal RNA". It matches the Rfam family "Bacterial small subunit ribosomal RNA", at positions 794 to 1089 of the family's 1533-position model. The record is from RNAcentral.
UCCACGCCCUAAACGAUGUAUGCUUGGUGUUGGGAAGCAAUUCUCAGUGCCGGAGGUAACCCGUUAAGCAUACCACCUGGGGAGUACGAUCGCAAGGUUGAAACUCAAAGGAAUUGACGGGGGCCCGCACAAGCGGUGGAUCAUGUGGUUUAACUCGAUGCAACGCGAAGAACCUUACCUGGGCUUGAAGUGUAGCGGACAGUAUCUGAAAGGGUACCUUCCUUCGGGACCGCUAUAGAGGUGCUGCAUGGCUGUCGUCAGCUCGUGCCGUGAGGUGUUGGGUUAAGUCCCG